UUUCAAAGUCUUCAGAUCCCAAAUCCUCCAAACACUCCAAGACAACCUCUGGAGGUGUUGCCAUCUUUUGUCCUGCUAAGAUCUGAAAGCCUGCUUUUCCCUCCACACCUGUCCUGCAUCAGCCUCAUCAGCCCUGCCCUGUUCCAUUUGUUCUCCCAGCCAAUCGGCUCCCUUCCUGUUCUCCUGCCUAGUCACCUGUUCCCUGUUCCCUGAUCCUGUCUGCCUGCCGUCUCUUGCACUUGGGUCCACCUGCCUUCACUCCAUCAUGACAGAACAAUUCAAACAAUAAUGGACCCAGCGGAUGGAUUGUUUUCUCAAAAACUAUGUGAGAUAACUUAUAACCUUUUGUGUCUUUGAAAUGACUGGAAAUAGGCCUCCAGUAGUGAGGACAGAGAGGCAGCCUUAUCAUUGGCACACCGGGCAGCGUCUUCAAAGUCUUGGUUGAAGAAAUUGCUACCUGGGUGGGCAGAGGACUUUAUUAACACUCAUGAAUCCCAGCCUGCACCUCAGUCAGCUAACCACCAGCAUGCUAGCUACCAGCAUGCUAGCCUUCACCAUGCAUCUCAGCCUGCACUCCAGUAGGCCUUUUCCAUAUACAUGUGCUGGCUUGGUUUGACUCGGUGCAUCAGCCCAGUGCUGCUGGGAUUUGCGUCUUCAUUACAACAGGGCUACCUGCUUGAAGGUGUCUUAAAAGACCACUUUACUGAUUUUCAACCAUAUCUCCAUCUAUCUGAAUUAGGGAUGUAGUGUGAAAAACAGUUGUUUUUAAUGUUCUGUGUCUCUGAGAUGCAGCUUCAAAAUCUGUUGUUCUUCCAGGAACCAGUGACGUCAUUGGUUCUUGAAGAACUACAGCAUGUUUUCUGUAGGACAAUAACAACUGCCACAAAUGGUUUCAUAACAUCUGUGUGGGUUGAGAGGAGGAGCUAGACCAUGAUUAUUUAAUGUCUUAUUGGUGUCUCGAUGGUUAAUCUUUUUUCUUGUCUCAUUAAAAAUAUAUUAUGUGAAUAAAUCUUUUCCUACCAUUCGUCUUUGAUCUAAAAUAUUUAAUUUUAAAUAAUGAACUCUUCUGUUUAUAGUUGUGCUAUGAAUACUCUGCUUGGUGUGAAUUACUUGUAAGAUAU
This is a long non-coding RNA of Thunnus maccoyii (southern bluefin tuna), 1121 nucleotides long. RefSeq lists it as uncharacterized. The record is from RefSeq and is a predicted model, not a curated record. The transcript has 3 exons. NCBI's taxonomy places the organism in Eukaryota, Metazoa, Chordata, Actinopteri, Scombriformes, Scombridae.